Molecule: ribosomal RNA, 795 nt
Filed under: uncultured eukaryote
Lineage: Eukaryota
Description: SSU rRNA
Rfam family: Eukaryotic small subunit ribosomal RNA
Source: RNAcentral
CAGAGAUUUUCAAUGGGGGAUAUUUAACGCCAUCCAACAUCGAGUAACAAUUGGAGGACAAGUCUGGUGCCAGCACCCGCGGUAAUUCCAGCUCCAAGAGCGUAUAUUAACGCUGUUGCUGUUAAAGGGUUCGUAGUUGAACUGAGGACUGUCAAGGAGCAAGGUGCGUCCCACCCUCCGGGUCGGCGACCCCUUCUCUUGCUGUCCGUGAACGUCAGAAACAAACAUCGCGGGAGCGUUCCCUCUGACCUCGCGUGCAAUGUACGCAAGAGGGCGCCCGUGUGUCUUACUGUGACUAAAAAAGCGCGACCAAAGCAGUCGUUCGACAUGAAUUUGAAAGCAUGGGAUAACGAAGCCUACCAGCGGAUUACCGUUUCGGCUUUUGUUGGUUUUAAAGAUCCGAGGGAGAUUAUGGCUUCUGCAUUGACAAGCGGUUCGGGGUUUUGUCCCCACGCCUCCGUCUUCGGACGGCUUGCAGGGCCCUGAAUGAAGGAGGGUUGUUCGGGGGAGAACGUACUUGAGCGUGAGAGGUGAAAUUCUUAGACCGCUCAAAGACGAACUACAGCGAAGGCAUUCUCCAAGGAUACCUUCCUCAAUCAAGAACCAAAGUGUGGAGAUCGAAGAUGAUUAGAGGCCAUCGUAGUCCACACCACAAACGAUGACCCCCACGAAUUGGGGAGUUUUUGGCUUGGCUUCCUUCAGCCUUCCGGCUGUUGGGGCCUUCCAAUUAAGAAUACAAUUUACGUGCAUAUUCCGUUGGCUUCGGUCAAUAACGGGAAUAUCCUCAGCACGUCC